This 467-nucleotide ribosomal RNA is filed under the name uncultured bacterium. RNAcentral describes it as "partial 16S ribosomal RNA". It matches the Rfam family "Bacterial small subunit ribosomal RNA", at positions 28 to 506 of the family's 1533-position model. The record is from RNAcentral.
GACGAACGCUGGCGGCGUGCUUAACACAUGCAAGUCGAACGGAAAGGCCCUGCUUUUGUGGGGUGCUCGAGUGGCGAACGGGUGGGUAACACGUGAGUAACCUGCCCUUGACUUUGGGAUAACUUCAGGAGACUGGGGCUAAUACCGGAUAGGAGCUCCUGCUGCAUGGUGGGGGUUGGAAAGUUUCGGCGGUUGGGGAUGGACUCGCGGCUUAUCAGCUUGUUGGUGGGGUAGUGGCUUACCAAGGCUUUGACGGGUAGCCGGCCUGAGAGGGUGACCGGCCACAUUGGGACUGAGAGACGGCCCAGACGCCUACGGGAGGCAGCAGUGGGGAAUAUUGCACAAGGGGCGGAAGCCUGAUGCAGCAACGCCGCGUGCGGGAUGACGGCCUUCGGGUGGUAAACCGCUUUCGCCUGUGACGAAGCGUGAGGGACGGUAAUGGGUAAAGAAACACCGGCUAACUACGU